Molecule: unclassified non-coding RNA, 680 nt
Filed under: Hevea brasiliensis (rubber tree)
Lineage: Eukaryota; Viridiplantae; Streptophyta; Magnoliopsida; Malpighiales; Euphorbiaceae
Source: RNAcentral
GGGGAUUAAAGUUCAUGAACUGGUAAAUAUUUGCUGGUUAUUGAUUGAGCUCUUCUUUUCUUUUCUUUUUUUUCUCUAGAAUCUCAUAACUCUGGAAACAGUAUGUUCUUUAGAAUGUAACUGCAAAAACUGUGAAUCUUCUAGGCUUCUACCAACCUUCUUGCAUUUGGCCAUCCAAAAUUUUGAAACACUAAAUGAUCUGGGUUACACAUGAUGCUAGUAGCUUUGAGAGCCUUUUUUUUAUCAACUAAUCAAUGCAUGUCAAUAAAAUUAACUAAAUACCUUCUGAACUAAAAAGGUUAUUCUAAUUGUCUCAUCCUCAUUUUGACUGUUAUAUUUAAUUUUCUUUCCUUAUAUAUUCUAUUUAACUUUCAAAUUAACCUGCCCUUUCAAGAUCUCAUCAUUCACAAGAAUAAAAUAUAGCAAUUUUUCCCAAAGAUAAGACUUGUAUUUAACAUCAUUUAUAUAUUUUCAGCAGCGAGCAUAUGCAUCACAAUUUAUGGCCAAUUUUAGAUAUAAUUUCUUCCAUAUUGCAGUCCAAUUUCUACAGUAAAUUUUGUGAUUGGUAAAGUGGGGGCAUAUAUGUUCCUAUAUGUAUAAUUUGAUGUAAAUUUGUGCUGCAUGUUGCACCUUGGACCUCAACAAUUCACUUUGCAGGUUGUGGACAAGGAAAGAGAAAG